UACGAAGGGUGCUAGCGUUGCUCGGAAUCACUGGGCGUAAAGGGCGCGUAGGCGGCGUUUUAAGUCGGGGGUGAAAGCCUGUGGCUCAACCACAGAAUGGCCUUCGAUACUGGGACGCUUGAGUAUGGUAGAGGUUGGUGGAACUGCGAGUGUAGAGGUGAAAUUCGUAGAUAUUCGCAAGAACACCGGUGGCGAAGGCGGCCAACUGGACCAUCACUGACGCUGAGGCGCGAAAGCGUGGGGAGCAAACAGG
This 253-nucleotide ribosomal RNA is filed under the name uncultured bacterium. RNAcentral describes it as "partial 16S ribosomal RNA". It matches the Rfam family "Bacterial small subunit ribosomal RNA", at positions 524 to 776 of the family's 1533-position model. The record is from RNAcentral.